GCGAGUCGAGUGUAGCAAUACAUGGCGUACUGCUCAGUAACACGUGGACAACCUACCCUCCGGACGGGUAUAAACCCGGGAAACUGGGUAUAAUCCCCGAUAGAUCUCGGUCGCUGGAAUGCCCCGAGAUCGAAAGCUCCGGCGCCAGAGGAUGGGUCUGCGGCCUAUCAGGUAGUAGUGGGUGUAGCGUACCUACUAGCCUACGACGGGUACGGGUUGUGAGAGCAAGAGCCCGGAGAUGGAUUCUGAGACACGAAUCCAGGCCCUACGGGGUGCAGCAGGCGCGAAAACUUUACAAUGCCGGCAACGGCGAUAAGGGGACCUCGAGUGCCAGGUUACAAAUCUGGCUGUCGUGAUGCCUAAAAAGCAUUGCAUAGCAAGGGCCGGGCAAGACCGGUGCCAGCCGCCGCGGUAACACCGGCGGCUCGAGUGGUAACCGUUAUUAUUGGGUCUAAAGGGUCUGUAGCCGGCCGGAUAAGUCUCUUGAGAAAUCCAGCAGCUCAACUGUUGGGCUUUCAGGAGAUACUGUUCGGCUCGAGGCCGGGAGAGGUGAGAGGUACUUCAGGGGUAGGGGUGAAAUCUUGUAAUCCUUGAAGGACCACCAGUGGCGAAGGCGUCUCACCAGAACGGACCUGACGGCAAGGGACGAAAGCUAGGGGCACGAACCGGAUUAGAUACCCGGGUAGUCCUAGCCGUAAACGAUACUCGCUAGGUGUCGGCCACGGUGCGACCGUUGUCGGUGCCGUAGGGAAGCCGUGAAGCGAGCCACCUGGGAAGUACGGCCGCAAGGCUGAAACUUAAAGGAAUUGGCGGGGGAGCACCAUAACGGGUGGAGC
This 836-nucleotide ribosomal RNA is filed under the name uncultured archaeon. RNAcentral's name for it is "bacterial SSU rRNA". It matches the Rfam family "Archaeal small subunit ribosomal RNA", at positions 53 to 894 of the family's 1478-position model. The record is from RNAcentral.